UGAACGCUAGCGGCAGGCUUAAUACAUAGCAAGUCGAGGGGCGAUCAAGGGUAACACGAAAGUGUAUUGUUGGCGACCGGCGGACGGGUGAGUAAUAGGUAGGGUAACCUACCUCAUACUGAGGCAUAGCUGGGAGAAAUUCCAGGUAAUUCCUCAUGAGGUUAUAUGACACAUGUGAUAUAAUCAAAGGUAUCGCAAGGUACUGGUAUGAGAUGGGCUUACUGACCAUUAGCUAGUUGGUGAGAUAAGAGCUCACCAAGGCGAAGAUGGUUAGGGGUUUUGAGAGAGAGAUCCCCCACAUUGGAACUGAGAUACGGUCCAGACUCCUACGGGAGGCAGCAGUAGGGAAUAUUGGGCAAUGGGCGGAAGCCUGACCCAGCCAUGCCGCGUGAAGGAAGACGGCCUUAUGGGUUGUAAACUUCUUUACUAUGCGACUAACUAGAUUUACGAGAUAAUUCUAUAGAAUGUAGCAUAGCAAAAAAGCACCGGCUAACUCCGUG
Molecule: ribosomal RNA, 500 nt
Filed under: uncultured bacterium
Lineage: Bacteria
Description: bacterial SSU rRNA
Rfam family: Bacterial small subunit ribosomal RNA
Source: RNAcentral